RNAcentral lists this ribosomal RNA (493 nucleotides) under uncultured bacterium. RNAcentral's name for it is "partial 16S ribosomal RNA". It matches the Rfam family "Bacterial small subunit ribosomal RNA", at positions 29 to 523 of the family's 1533-position model. The record is from RNAcentral.
AUUGAACGCUGGCGGCAUGCUUUACACAUGCAAGUCGAACGGUAACAGGUUAAGCUGACGCGUGGCGAACGGGUGAGUAAUGCAUCGGAACGUGCCCGAUCGUUGGGGAUAACGCAGCGAAAGCUGCGCUAAUACCGCAUACGAUCUGAGGAGGAAAGCGGGUGACCGUAAGGCCUCGCGCGAUCGGAGCGGCCGAUGUCAGAUUAGGUAGUUGGCGGGGUAAAGGCUCACCAAGCCGACGAUCUGUAGCUGGUCUGAGAGGACGACCAGCCACACUGGGACUGAGACACGGCCCAGACUCCUACGGGAGGCAGCAGUGGGGAAUUUUGGACAAUGGGCGCAAGCCUGAUCCAGCAAUGCCGCGUGCAGGAAGAAGGCCUUCGGGUUGUAAACUGCUUUUGUACGGAGCGAAAAGGCUCUCUCUAAUACAGGGGGCUCGUGACGGUACCGAAAGAAUAAGCACCGGCUAACUACGUGCCAGCCGCCGCAGUAA